This 778-nucleotide ribosomal RNA is filed under the name uncultured bacterium. RNAcentral's name for it is "bacterial SSU rRNA". It matches the Rfam family "Bacterial small subunit ribosomal RNA", at positions 51 to 815 of the family's 1533-position model. The record is from RNAcentral.
ACACAUGCAAGUCGAGGGGAAACGACAUCGAAAGCUUGCUUUUGAUGGGCGUCGACCGGCGCACGGGUGAGUAACGCGUAUCCAACCUGCCCACCACUUGGGGAUAACCUUGCGAAAGUAAGACUAAUACCCAAUGAUAUCUCUAGAAGACAUCUGAAAGAGAUUAAAGAUUUAUCGGUGAUGGAUGGGGAUGCGUCUGAUUAGCUUGUUGGCGGGGUAACGGCCCACCAAGGCGACGAUCAGUAGGGGUUCUGAGAGGAAGGUCCCCCACAUUGGAACUGAGACACGGUCCAAACUCCUACGGGAGUUUUUUAGUGAGGAAUAUUGGUCAAUGGGCGAGAGCCUGAACCAGCCAAGUAGCGUGCAGGAUGACGGCCCUAUGGGUUGUAAACUGCUUUUAUAAGGGAAUAAAGUGAGUCUCGUGAGACUUUUUGCAUGUACCUUAUGAAUAAGGACCGGCUAAUUCCGUGCCAGCAGCCGCGGUAAUACGGAAGGUCCGGGCGUUAUCCGGAUUUAUUGGGUUUAAAGGGAGCGUAGGCCGGAGAUUAAGCGUGUUGUGAAAUGUAGACGCUCAACGUCUGCACUGCAGCGCGAACUGGUUUCCUUGAGUACGCACAAAGUGGGCGGAAUUCGUGGUGUAGCGGUGAAAUGCUUAGAUAUCACGAAGAACUCCGAUUGCGAAGGCAGCUCACUGGAGCGCAACUGACGCUGAAGCUCGAAAGUGCGGGUAUCGAACAGGAUUAGAUACCCUGGUAGUCCGCACGGUAAACGAUGGAUG